Non-coding RNA from Mesocricetus auratus (golden hamster), 107 nucleotides. Lineage: Eukaryota; Metazoa; Chordata; Mammalia; Rodentia; Cricetidae. The record is from Rfam.
GUACUCACUUUAGCAGCACGUAUACAAACAUUGGAACAAUACAGAGAAAAUUAACAUGGUCCCUGUGUAAGAAGGAAUAAAAAGAGUAUGUAACAUGAAUAAACUGC